This 468-nucleotide ribosomal RNA is filed under the name bacterium enrichment culture clone ALO1_GLFRUDD03GAYXT. RNAcentral describes it as "bacterial SSU rRNA". It matches the Rfam family "Bacterial small subunit ribosomal RNA", at positions 9 to 524 of the family's 1533-position model. The record is from RNAcentral.
GAGUUUGAUCUUGGCUCAGAGCGAACGCUGGCGGCAUGCUUAACACAUGCAAGUCGCACGGUCAGCAAUGGCAGUGGCGGACGGGUGAGUAACACGUAGGAAUCUAUCUCUGGGUGGGGGACAACAGUGGGAAACUACUGCUAAUACCGCAUGAUACCUGAGGGUCAAAGGCGUAAGUCGCCUGGAGAGGAGCCUGCGUCUGAUUAGCUUGUUGGUGGGGUAAAGGCCUACCAAGGCUACGAUCAGUAGCUGGUCUGAGAGGAUGAUCAGCCACAUUGGGACUGAGACACGGCCCAAACUCCUACGGGAGGCAGCAGUGGGGAAUAUUGGACAAUGGGCGAAAGCCUGAUCCAGCAAUGCCGCGUGUGUGAAGAAGGUCUUCGGAUUGUAAAGCACUUUUGGCAGGGACGAUGAUGACGGUACCUGCAGAAUAAGCCCGGCUAACUUCGUGCCAGCCGCCGCGGUAAU